GACAGAGGGUGCAAACGUUGUUCGGAAUUACUGGGCGUAAAGCGCGUGUAGGCGGCUAUGUAAGUCCGUUCUGAAAGCCCGGGGCUCAACCCCGGGAGGCGGAUGGAUACUGUCAAGCUCGAGUCCGGAAGAGGCAAGUGGAAUUCCCGGUGUAGCGGUGAAAUGCGCAGAUAUCGGGAGGAACACCAAUGGCGAAGGCAGCUUGCUGGGACGGUACUGACGCUGAGACGCGAAAGCGUGGGGAGCAAACAGGG
This 254-nucleotide ribosomal RNA is filed under the name uncultured bacterium. RNAcentral describes it as "partial 16S ribosomal RNA". It matches the Rfam family "Bacterial small subunit ribosomal RNA", at positions 524 to 777 of the family's 1533-position model. The record is from RNAcentral.